RNAcentral lists this ribosomal RNA (481 nucleotides) under uncultured bacterium. RNAcentral's name for it is "bacterial SSU rRNA". It matches the Rfam family "Bacterial small subunit ribosomal RNA", at positions 917 to 1382 of the family's 1533-position model. The record is from RNAcentral.
GGACCCGCACAAGCGGUGGAGCAUGUGGUUCAAUUCGACGGUAAACGAAAAACCUUACCAGGGCUUGAAAUGUAGCUGCUAAUCCCGAGAAACCGGGACUCCUUCGAGGGUGCUACACAGGUGCUGCAUGGUUGCCGUCAGCUCGUGCCGUGAGGUGUACCAUUAAGUUGGGUAACGAGCGCAACCCCCGUGUUAUGUUAAUUUUUACAUAACAUACCGCCCCUGCCUGUAAACAUUUUUAAAAAGUGUUUAGAGGCAGGGGAGGAAGGAGGGGAUGACGUCAAAUCAGCAUGGCUCUUACGUCCUGGGCCACACACGUGCUACAAUGGGAAGUAACAAUGGGCUGCCAAGUCGCGAGACGGAGCUAAUCCCACCAAACCUUCCCUCAGUUCAGAUUGCAGUCUGCAACUCGACUGCAUGAAGUAGGAAUCGCUAGUAAACGCCGAUCAGCUAUGCGGCGUUGAAUACGUUCUCGGGUCUU